This is a long non-coding RNA of Oreochromis niloticus (Nile tilapia), 1326 nucleotides long. RefSeq lists it as uncharacterized. The record is from RefSeq and is a predicted model, not a curated record. NCBI's taxonomy places the organism in Eukaryota, Metazoa, Chordata, Actinopteri, Cichliformes, Cichlidae. The transcript has 4 exons.
UACACCGGCCUAAAGGUAGCUUUUGCUGUGGAAAUUUCACUUGUAGUAGGAAACAGGUAAACAGACACAGAUGUAGCUCAGCAUUAAAAAAAAAUCCUAUCCCCAGUUUCAUAGACUGUUAAUGCAGCUCAUGACAUAUACCAUCUCAAAUGCAUUCUUGGCUCUUCCAAUGUAGGUCUGACUAAGUAUUAGUAACCCUUCUGUGGCUAAAACACUACAUGGAACCACAUCGUGGGAGUGAUUCAACCCUAAAAGUCCCAGGGCUAUUUACUUCCUGUGUGUUGCACCUAAAGGCUGGAGAAAUGCUGUACUUACCAUUGCCCCCAGAGACCAAAGAAAAUGAUGCAGGGUAAUUAGUGUUGUACACAUGUGUUAUGCUCUUCAGGAUGCAAGUUUCCAAGUGUCAGCCCGCUGACUACCGUAACCAGUGAACCGGCUAAUUUCCUGUCUCCAUGGUCACAGAGAAAGCUGUCAUUCUCGCUUCGUACGACGUUACAAAAGCAAACCAUCCAUAAGGAGCUCAAACAUAAACUGUCUACACACAGCCUCCUGCAAAGACAUACACACACAGCUUGAGCUUUAGCUAGCUAUAUAUGAUUCAAACAGGAGUCAGUUGGCCUUUUUUCUGCCUCUCUCUGCUCUCACCCCCCAACAAGGCACGGCAGAUGUCUGCCUCUCCCUGAGACUGAGCCUGGUUCCGAUGGAGUUUUCUUCCUGUUGAAAGGGAGUUUUUCCUUCCCGUUGUCACCAAGUGCUUGCUCAUAGGGAGUAGGCUGUAUGUUGAGAUUUCUUUCUAAUAUUCUAUAGUCUUUAUCUUAUAAUAUAAAGAGGCUUGAACUGACUGUUGUUGUUAAUAUGUGCUAUAUAAAUAAAACUGAAAUUACAUUUUUUUAAAUAGAUUUCAGGUCCAUAUGUGUAAUCAGUAUGUGGGAUGUAUGAGUGGAAAAUGUGCUCUUUAUUAAGAAAACAAGACUCUUUGACUUUAUUUAUUUGAUUAAUGGUGAAGAUUAGUCAGGAAAGCAGGGAUUGCCUCAAGUCAGAGGCAAACCCAGGCCACUGCAUUUCACCUUGCAGCAUACAGUGAGCUAAACUGGCACCUAGCAGAAAACCUAUAUUGACACCAUAUUGGCAAAGGUAUGUGCACAACUUAUUGCAUUCUAGGACUGCUUUUUCAGAGUGACUUUAGAUUUGUGCCAACAGUUGUGGUUUCAGUUUUGUGACCACCAAAACAAUUCAUUGGUGUUUGAAAGCCACGCAUGUCAGUGCUUAAAAACUCAGUUCAAGUGUACACUUUGGUCCAAGUCUGGUGCACAUUUAUGGCCUCAA